RNAcentral lists this ribosomal RNA (526 nucleotides) under Bacillus licheniformis. RNAcentral describes it as "bacterial SSU rRNA". It matches the Rfam family "Bacterial small subunit ribosomal RNA", at positions 801 to 1327 of the family's 1533-position model. Lineage: Bacteria; Bacillati; Bacillota; Bacilli; Caryophanales; Bacillaceae. The record is from RNAcentral.
CGCGUACGAUGAGUGUAGUGUUAUNCNGUUUCCGCCCUUUAGUGCUGCCNCAAACGCAUUAAGCACUCCGCCUGGGGAGUACGGUCGCAAGACUGAAACUCAAAGGAAUUGACGGGGGCCCGCACAAGCGGUGGAGCAUGUGGUUUAAUUCGAAGCAACGCGAAGAACCUUACCAGGUCUUGACAUCCUCUGACAACCCUAGAGAUAGGGCUUCCCCUUCGGGGGCAGAGUGACAGGUGGUGCAUGGUUGUCGUCAGCUCGUGUCGUGAGAUGUUGGGUUAAGUCCCGCAACGAGCGCAACCCUUGAUCUUAGUUGCCAGCAUUCAGUUGGGCACUCUAAGGUGACUGCCGGUGACAAACCGGAGGAAGGUGGGGAUGACGUCAAAUCAUCAUGCCCCUUAUGACCUGGGCUACACACGUGCUACAAUGGGCCAGAACAAAGGGCAGCNAAGCCGCGAGGCUAAGCCAAUCCCACAAAUCUGUUCUCAGUUCGGAUCGCAGUCUGCAACUCGAACUGCGUGAAGCU